This is a long non-coding RNA of Gallus gallus (chicken), 1274 nucleotides long. The record is from Ensembl. Lineage: Eukaryota; Metazoa; Chordata; Aves; Galliformes; Phasianidae.
AAAGAGGCUUAUUUAAGCUGCCUCCAAGAUACUUCCACGCUCCCUUCUUUUUAAAAUAACAUGUAGAAUUUAGAGCAAAAAAGGAUCAUCACCUUUAAUCCUAACCAAAAUCAACGUAGUCCUUAUUCAGGAUAUGGAAAUACAGCUGCAGUGGAAAGCAAGGAAGUUAUUUACUGCAUUUAGGGGUGGAAUUUCAGCUGAAAACAAGGGAAGGAGAGAUCUUCUUUGAAUCAGGAGCUCAGAUGUAGGUUUACUAGUUUUUCAGUGCACUGAAGCAGGAAAAAAGACUCUUCAUCGGAAGUUAGCAGAGCUGUUCAUGAGUGAGAGAACAUGAGGGAAGAAAAUAAUUGCUAAGAUGAAGCAGCUCAGGGGAGAAGAGAGGAAGAGAUUGAAAACAAGCCUCAGCUGCCAUCAACCUUCAAAUCCCUUUUUGUGCCACAGUCCUCCAAGCCAUCUUGUACAUGCCAGCAUCUGUGAGCAACCCAGAAUACCGUUGGCCUUCCAGACUGCAAGCACACACAGCUGGCUCAUGUUCGCCUUUUCAUCCACCAGGACCCCCAAGAGCUUAUUUGUAGCACUGCUCAAGAGGAAUUCUUCUUCCACUCUGUACACAGAUCUGGGAUUUCUGUUCCCCAAGAGCAACAUCUUGCAUACCCAGAGAAGAAAAGCAGCAUGCACAAGGUCAUGUACCUUGGGGCCUUUGUCAUCUUGGUCGUCUUUGUCAUCCGGACGCUCCAAUAAGAUCCCUUCUGCACAAGUGAAUGGGGCCUACAGGCACUCACGAGUUUGGAGGGAAAAGUAGUUACUAGAAAAGAGCAAGACAAGGGGAAGAAAUGUACUUGCUGAGAAAGAGGCAUGAAGACAUUUCCCAAGCUGGCAAGCUCUGGAAGCUCAAAGUUCCGUUGAACCUGCAAGACCUCAUAAACUUGGACCCCAAUAAACAGUCAAAUCUACUGGGGGCAGCCAGUGCAUACUGGCAUCAUCAGUAGAAUAUGUGACCUGGACCACAGCCAAGGGGUUCUCUGCACACUGCUGCAUGCAGAGAAACAAGUGCAGAACUGUAUACACACCUGAUAAAACAAGGAUCACAGAAGACUUUUCCAAAGAGCUAUGUAGAACCCAGCACGACCCUCAGCCUGGGAGACUGCAGCUGAGGUCAGCCUCCCCACUGCUGCUCCAUUUGGGAAUGUGUGAGUCUGCUGCACGAGGGAAUAACUCAAUGUGGUGCCUGAAUACUUUUCUUCUGUUAAUAAUAACAGCUUAAUGAAUAAAAG